Molecule: transfer RNA, 71 nt
Filed under: Collybiopsis luxurians FD-317 M1
Lineage: Eukaryota; Fungi; Basidiomycota; Agaricomycetes; Agaricales; Omphalotaceae
Description: tRNA-Glu (CTC) (tRNA-Glu-CTC-4-1)
Rfam family: tRNA
About the family: Transfer RNA (tRNA) molecules are approximately 80 nucleotides in length. Their secondary structure includes four short double-helical elements and three loops (D, anti-codon, and T loops). Further hydrogen bonds mediate the characteristic L-shaped molecular structure. tRNAs have two regions of fundamental functional importance: the anti-codon, which is responsible for specific mRNA codon recognition, and the 3' end, to which the tRNAs corresponding amino acid is attached (by aminoacyl-tRNA synthetases). tRNAs cope with the degeneracy of the genetic code in two manners: having more than one tRNA (with a specific anti-codon) for a particular amino acid; and 'wobble' base-pairing, i.e. permitting non-standard base-pairing at the 3rd anti-codon position.
Source: RNAcentral
UCCGAUAUGGUGUAGUGGCUAACAUUAUCGCCUCUCACGCGAUAGCUCGGGUUCGAUUCCCCGUGUCGGAA